UACAGAGGUCUCAAGCGUUGUUCGGAUUCAUUGGGCGUAAAGGGUGCGUAGGCGGCGCGGUAAGUCGGAUGUGAAAUCUCGGAGCUUAACUUCGAAACUGCAUUCGAUACUGCCGUGCUUGAGGACUGGAGAGGAGACUGGAAUUUACGGUGUAGCGGUGAAAUGCGUAGAUAUCUGGAGGAACACCGGUGGCGAAGGCGGCAUCCUGGACCGAGAUUGACGCUGAGGCGCGAAAGCCAGGGGAGCAAACGGG
Molecule: ribosomal RNA, 253 nt
Filed under: uncultured bacterium
Lineage: Bacteria
Description: partial 16S ribosomal RNA
Rfam family: Bacterial small subunit ribosomal RNA
Source: RNAcentral